This 468-nucleotide ribosomal RNA is filed under the name uncultured bacterium. RNAcentral describes it as "partial 16S ribosomal RNA". It matches the Rfam family "Bacterial small subunit ribosomal RNA", at positions 28 to 507 of the family's 1533-position model. The record is from RNAcentral.
GACGAACGCUGGCGGCGUGCUUAACACAUGCAAGUCGAACGGAAAGGCCCUGCUUUUGUGGGGUGCUCGAGUGGCGAACGGGUGAGUAACACGUGAGUAACCUGCCCUUGACUUUGGGAUAACUUCAGGAAACUGGGGCUAAUACCGUAUAGGAGCUCCUGCUGCAUGGUGGGGGUUGGAAAGUUUCGGCGGUUGGGGAUGGACUCGCGGCUUAUCAGCUUGUUGGUGGGGUAGUGGCUUACCCAGGCUUUGACGGGUAGCCGGCCUGAGAGGGUGAACGGCCACAAGGGUACUGAGAGACGGCCCAGACGCCUACGGGAGGCAGCAGGGGGGAAUAUUGCACAAUGGGCGGAAGCCUGAUGCAGCAACGCCGCGGGCGGGAUGACGGCCUGCGGGUUGUAAACCGCUUUCGCCUGUGACGAAGCGUGAGUGACGGUAAUGGGUAAAGAAGCACCGGCUAACUACGUG